CCUGUGUGAUGAGAUGUGAAUAAACUGACUUCAAUCAUGGAGGUCUGCAAUUAGCUCUAUCUGAC
Apteryx haastii (Great spotted kiwi) is the source of this 65-nucleotide small nucleolar RNA. NCBI's taxonomy places the organism in Eukaryota, Metazoa, Chordata, Aves, Apterygiformes, Apterygidae. The record is from Ensembl.